Molecule: long non-coding RNA, 215 nt
Filed under: Patiria miniata (bat star)
Lineage: Eukaryota; Metazoa; Echinodermata; Asteroidea; Valvatida; Asterinidae
Description: uncharacterized LOC119721026
Source: RNAcentral
AGCUUUCACGACUAGUGCAACAACCGUGGUAGCUUUGGACGACAUAUCUACCGAGUCCGGCAAUGAAGCACUGACUGUCAAUCAAACAACGGAUCAAGUGUCAACCGAAGCAGUUUCCAGCAUUGCACCUACCGACCCAACCACUGAAGUAUUUUCAACCGGACAUGCCACAUCUACAGCAGUUACCGGCGAUGCAUCUAUUGAGGCUACCACAG